UGGGGAAUUUUGGACAAUGGGCGAAAGCCUGAUCCAGCAAUGCCGCGUGUGUGAAGAAGGCCUUCGGGUUGUAAAGCACUUUUGUCCGGAAAGAAAUCCUUGGCUCUAAUACAGUCGGGGGAUGACGGUACCGGAAGAAUAAGCACCGGCUAACUACGUGCCAGCAGCCGCGGUAAUACGUAGGGUGCAAGCGUUAAUCGGAAUUACUGGGCGUAAAGCGUGCGCAGGCGGUUUGCUAAGACCGAUGUGAAAUCCCCGGGCUCAACCUGGGAACUGCAUUGGUGACUGGCAGGCUAGAGUAUGGCAGAGGGGGGUAGAAUUCCACGUGUAGCAGUGAAAUGCGUAGAGAUGUGGAGGAAUACCGAUGGCGAAGGCAGCCCCCUGGGCCAAGUACUGACGCUCAUGCACGAAAGCGUGGGGAGCAAACAGGAUUAGAUACCCUGGUAGUCCACGCCCUAAACGAUGUCAACUAGUUGUUGGGGAUUCAUUUCCUUAGUAACGUAGCUAACGCGUGAAGUUGACCGCCUGGGGAGUACGGUCGCAAGAUUAAAACUCAAAGGAAUUGACGGGGUCAUAGCUGUUUCCU
RNAcentral lists this ribosomal RNA (586 nucleotides) under uncultured bacterium. RNAcentral describes it as "partial 16S ribosomal RNA". It matches the Rfam family "Bacterial small subunit ribosomal RNA", at positions 355 to 1375 of the family's 1533-position model. The record is from RNAcentral.